RNAcentral lists this ribosomal RNA (484 nucleotides) under uncultured bacterium. RNAcentral describes it as "partial 16S ribosomal RNA". It matches the Rfam family "Bacterial small subunit ribosomal RNA", at positions 30 to 507 of the family's 1533-position model. The record is from RNAcentral.
AUUGAACGCUGACGGCAGGCCUAACACAUGCCAGUCGAGCGGAUGAAGGGAGCUUGCUCCUGGAUUCAGCGGCGGACGGGUGAGUAAUGCCUAGGAAUCUGCCUGGUAGUGGGGGAUAACGUCCGGAAACGGGCGCUAAUACCGCAUACGUCCUGAGGGAGAAAGUGGGGGAUCUUCGGACCUCACGCUAUCAGAUGAGCCUAGGUCGGAUUAGCUAGUUGGUGGGGUAAAGGCCUACCAAGGCGACGAUCCGUAACUGGUCUGAGAGGAUGAUCAGUCACACUGGAACUGAGACACGGUCCAGACUCCUACGGGAGGCAGCAGUGGGGAAUAUUGGACAAUGGGCGAAGGCCUGAUCCAGCCAUGCCGCGUGUGUGAAGAAGGUCUUCGGAUUGUAAAGCACUUUAAGUUGGGAGGAAGGGCAGUAAGUUAAUACCUUGCUGUUUUGACGUUACCAACAGAAUAAGCACCGGCUAACUUCGUG